CAGGUUCUUGAAGCAUUCCUCCAUCCGGUCAUGGAAGGGCCGAAGGUUUUCUGACACUCUCUUCUCAUGGAUCUUGAUCCCAGCUCCCAGGAAGGGGAUCUGGAAAGGAAAGAGGUAAAUGACUAUCCACAGCCUGGCCAGAUGGGCCCCCACCUACAAGGUCACGUCUGCCUGCUAAGAAUUCAUCAAGAGUUUCAGGGUCUUGGGAGACCUGUAAACAACCCUGGGAAACCAGGAAAACUACAACCUUGGAGCUUGCUCUAAAGGGGAAUAGAUCUCCAGCUGCCUGGCCUCACGGAGGUUGGAUGGUCCUACCCCAUCAGAGGUCACGUGCUCUGGAAGGCAAUCUACUGAAGGAGAGACCAGAGGGGAGGAAUCUCUGAGCUUUUACCUAAAGUCACCCCUAAGAGGUUCUUGAAUAUCUGAAGGUGAACUGGGAGGGAAGAAGGGAGUGGCCACAGCCUCACCUCCCAGCAUGGAGGUGCAAUUAGACCUGAUGUGGUUUGCUGAGGGUGGAUACAGAUGUGUUGAUAUCAAAGUUAACCACCAAUAGGGAAUUUCCAAAGUGAUGUUAAAAACCUUGGGAAGAUGAGGGAGGAGGGGAGAACUGGUGGGAGGGAAGUAAAGUCUUGUCCACCAAACAGGUUAAUAGAUUCCGUCCCAAAACUAGCUGUGUCCAAGGAGAGCUACGGGGUUACUACCAGGAGGAGAAGCUGAGAAUGGGUCACAUGGCACAAAGGAGAGUACCUACAAAGGAUUCUUUGGGGAAAAAUUUUAAUAUUCCCAUGAUGGCAAAGAUAUUUCUGCCUCCUGCCCUUGGAGUUCUUGCCAAAAUGGCAAAGUAAAGAAGAAACUGAAAUCAGUAGUGAACUUGGACACAUCUAGGAACUUGCCCCACAAUGUGCAGGGGGAGGUGGGCGGAGGAUGGUAACUGACCUUCCAGGGCAGAGGAGGGAGUUGGUGAUGAGACCCAUCUGCCUCUAGGAACCUGGGGAGGGGGUGGUGGUGGUCAGGCAACAGGUGCCUCAGGAGAGCCCGAGUGGGUAGGCCAGAAGCAGACGGGUGGGUUGAAACUCUGAGCCAGGAGCUAUCAGAUCACCAGGGGCCUGCUGCUUCACCUGUGACCAGGUACAAUGCCUUCUCAUCCCUCCAAGAAGCAGGAGCUUAUUCUCUAGAAUUAUUAGAAUAAGAAGCUUGGGAUUGAGGGGUAACAGGCCCAGCAGAGAGCAGGGUGAAAGUCUGCCUAGAGAUGCUGAGACCUGUACUUUCCAAGUCCCAAACUGCCUGCAGUGUGGCAGCUGGGAGGAUCUGCCCACCCAACAGCUGGAAAGCAUCUGUCUCGGGAAGGAAAGGGUCCCAGGUAGAUAGACAUCUGGAUGGCCAUCCAGUUGGCCAGGCCCUCUCGCAGGUUCGCAGAUUUUUCAUGUGGGCUCUGAAUUAUGAAGAGUUGGCCAACGAUUGCCAGCUACUGGAGGAAAUUCUCCAACAGGAAAGAAAGCCAAUAAGAAGGAACAAAUAAGCAAAUGAAUCAACUUGGAAGAAACAGAGACUGUAGAGGGCCUAAGAAAAUAUUUUUAAAUUAAUAUAUGAAUACAAAAGAUCUUUCAUUAAUAAAGACUUUAUGUAAGAGAAGAAGGGAUUAUGGGAGUACUGCAUAUCAAAUGCACUGAGAUAUAUUUAGAGUUGUUAGUGGAGGCCAAUUUAUAGCUUUCUAUAUUAGAAAAGACAGAAAACGGAGUGGGUAAGCAUCUGUCUCGAUGGAGUGAUAGGAAGCAGGGCUGAGAUGCUGAACAGAGGUGCCUUAAACACAAAUUUGCCAUGGAGAGGAGUCGGGGCAGCAACGGAGAAGCCAUAUUUUGAGGAGAGUGUGGGAAGGAAAAAAUCUGGAAAUAAGCCCAGAGAGUCAGGAAGGCAACCUAAAGAACAAAGCAACUCGCAGUUUCAACCCAGUUCUUGGCCUGAUAGGGGCAGGGAGUGUAGCACGCAAAUACUUCUGGAAUAGGGAAAGGGGCCGGUGCCAGUACCCCUACCACAGCACUCCGCAGUCCUUGCUGCAGGAGGGCUUCAUGGUCCUCAGCAGCUUCAAGUCCAGUCUAGGAAGCCGGCUGGUCUCAAAGUGACUCCUCUACUCCAAAGAAAGAGCUCACUUUGGACCUCCUCCAGCCCCCCAGCUCUCAAAGUAUACAAUGGCCAAACAAAGCUUUCCAAUCACUCCUCCCCUGUGUCCUAUCUGUCCUAUCUCACACUUCUACACAAACUCCUAAGGGAACUACUGCCCUCUUUUAUUAGUGGCUACCAGCCAAAACCUUCUUUCCAGAAGUUGUGGCCAGUGGCUGCCUUAGCUACAAACCCGAGCCCCACCUGAUUUUGCCCCUCAGAUCUAGGUAAGGUCUAUCUCCCCUGACCCACAACCUUGGGACAGUAGCCACUACUGCAGAGUCCUGGCUUCACCUCCACCUGUCUACUGGGAGCUGAGAGAGUUCCCGGCACUGUUCCAUGGUUCUAGGAAUGCAGCUAUCAGUGGCACAAACCCCUUGUGCUGACCUGGAAAGAACUAGGAAAGGUCAUCUUCAAAGACCACAGACUUGAGACUGCAGGUAGAAAAACACCCUUAGCUUAACUCUAGCCUGACCCUGGGAGUCAAGGAGAGGACCCAUCCAUAUCCUUCUUCCCUAGGACAGUAACUACUAAUACCACAACCUUGUCCACAGCAGAGCUUUACCCAUACAACCCCGGGGCACUAUCUUUUAUACCCUGCAGCUCCAAAACCACAAGCCCUGUACCACCUGUAUCUACACACAGGACCUAGGGAAGGUCUUCCCCAUGUUCUAUACCCCCAGAAGCAUACCUACCAGCACUAAAAGCCCCAACAUGAUCUGUACAUAUCUGGGAGGGGGUGGUGGUGGAAUCCAGAGAACAUGGCUCAUGGACUUUGGGACAACAGUACUAAUUCCAAAAGCCCUGGAAGCCCUAGGACCUGGAGAAGGUAUCAUCUGGGUCUCCUGGUUACACAGAAGCAUCUAACAGUACUAUAAGCCCCAGAAUCAACUGCAAUCACUCCCAAGGUCCUCUUUGUGUUCCAAAACCUUGAGACCAUGGUUACUGGUAUCACAGACCCCCAAAAAAUACACAAAAGAGAGAUGAGAAUCAAACUUUAGGGCAUGACAGAAAACCACAAAAUCACAAUAAUAAAAAGGAAAGUCAAAAAAGAAAAGAAACUGUACAAAAUAAGCAGAACACACUUAAUGACAGGAGGAAGAAUCUAUCAACAAUAAAUUUUGAAUGUUAGUGGAUUAAUUUCAGCAAUCAAAAUGCUUAAACUGGUUAAUUUUUUUAAAGGAGAGAAUUCAAGAUGGCAAAACAGAGGAAGGCUGCAUUCCUAGUUGCUCCAUGGCUCAAGACUCAAGGAGCUGAGAUAGAGCCAUCUGGAAGCAGCCCUGCUGCAGCUGCUGCUGCAGAGCCAGGAGAUCAGGCAAGCACAUCCCACAUGGCCAAAUGUGCAUGAAACAGGAACAGAGAGGACUGUGCCCAGGGGGAUUCAAAUUGGAAAAGCAACGAGGGGCCAACUUGAUCCUCCUUUGAGUCCGGGGACUCACGUGGCCAGCUGAAGCAGGUCAGGAAUCUGAACAGGCAGGUGUGAAUACACCCCCGGGACUGAGCCUGGAAACGUGCUUGUGGGCAAAAGAGUGUGUCGAGGAUGGCCCUGUGCCCAUAAGUGGGAUUCUUGGGAAACUUCUGAGAUCCAGACUCCUGUUAGAGGAGAGGGACCUAAUCUCUCCAGAGCACACACCGAGGAAGCCAGCCAACUUAGGUGGACCUACGCUCCACCUGCUGGAACUCACCUCAUACAACUCUGUAGCAGCCCACCCGGGGGUCGGGGGGCGGGCAUUGAUCUGGUCUAUGCAGGCAAACCUGACAGCACUUCCCAAUCCAUUCAACCUCAGACUAAUGAGAAGGGAAGCCGAAACUUAUUUCAGACGAUUUCAAUCUUAGGUCAUUCCAACUGGAAGCUCAGAGAGCAACACACAAAGAGGAAGGGGUUACCAACCCCCAGCCCUUGCUUUCUUGUUCUCAGUACAUAGCUCAAGAAGAAAUGAAAAGACAGGUGUAGACAGUGACCAUCCAUCCUGGUCAACUAUUUUGACCACCUCAUUAGAGAUGAUUCCUCCAUUAUUCAUUAAUUCUUUUUCUUUCUCUUUCUCUGUAUGUGUUUAUUUGUGAGCUCUGGGGUUUGGUGUUGAUUUCAGGGAGAGGGAGGGAGGGUGGGAGAGAGAGAGAGCAAGAGAGACACUGUUCUUACUGUGAUGAUGGGUUCAGAGACCUAUAUACAUAUUUAUUCUUUCUCAUUGUCAGCAUUUUUAAGCCUAGUUAUUUUUGUUUGUCUUUUGAGGGUUAGAAUUUUUUGGUUUGUAUAUUUUUUUUUUGUUUGUAUAUUUGCUUUGUUUUGUAUUUGAUUCUCUUUCUGUUUUUCUUCUCUAAUAGUCAAAUUCUACUGUCCUCUCUUCCUCUCUCCCUAUACUUUGUUUCUAUAUUUCCCCUCUUUCCUGUAACCAUCACCUGCUACAUCUUUUCUGCAUUCUCUGCUCACUUUUUGAAAUUGUAAACUCUUUUCUACCUUCCUAUCACAUUUUAUUUUCUCUUAACUCUAUUUUUACAGUCUUUAAAAACUAAUUGAUUUAUAUAACUCCUACCCUCCCCAUUAAUGCUGAUGCAAUUAUUACUGCUGUGGAUGACAUAGUUGACACCUGCUGUUUGCUUUAAAGCCAAAUGUAGUUCAUGGUUAUUGGUUUUACUGUUCACAAUUGCUGACCCCACCAUUUCUGGUUUCUCUGUGUGUUAAUUAAUGUUGUAGAUAUCAUAGCAAGAACUGAGUAUUUAUUUUAGUGGUAUAUAUUGUUUGCAUUUGUUGUUGUUACUGUUUGUUUUGCUUGAUUGUGUGAGGUUCUGGGAACAUACAGGGACACUCCAAGUUCACAGGGUAGAGAAUCUGCUGCUGAACUACAUCUAUACAAAAGACAGAGCAUUUCACUCCACCCACAAAUUAAUGACACAAUCUUCAGCUGUAUGUUAAAAUAAAGAACAGGGAGGAAACACCAAGUUAAUGACCAGGCCCCAAGUAGAAAUGAAUAGGGGUGGCCCCCAGGUCCUACCUACAGACAGUCACUGCUAUAGCAAAAAUAGAAGUAACAAUGGCUAGGGAUACUACAUCUACAAGAGGGCCUCAACCUAGAUCACUGGAACAAUUUGGAAUGUAAAGACUAUGCCCUAAAAUGGCCCACCUCCUGACAGAUGCAUAAAACCCAACACAGGAAUACAGAAAUAUGAAGAAACAAAGUAACAUGACACCUCCUAAAGUUCAUAAUUCACCAGCAACUGACCCUAAAGGUAUUGAAAUGGAUGAUACAUUAUAUAAAGAAUUCAAAAAAAUCAUUAUAAAAAUGAUCAAUGAAUUCCAAGAAAAUCACAGAAAAACAACUAUAUGAAUUAGGGAAGUCAGUACUGGAUAUGAAUGAGAAAUUCAAUAAGGAGAUAGAAAUACUGAAAACGAACCAAAAAGAAAUCCUGGAAAUGAAAGGCAAAUCAAAUAAAAUGCCCAACUGGAAGUCUCUCUAAUAGAGUAGACCACACUGAAAACAAUCUCAGAGCUGGAAGACAAAGUGGCCACCUUAAACAAUCAGACAGCAUUAAAGAAAAAAAAAAAAAGGAAGAAGAAACCAUGAUCAGAAUAUUCAAGAACUCUGGGACAACAUUAUAAGACCAGAUUAAGAAUCACUGCAAUUGAGGAAGGUUGAGAGAUGCAGGCUAAUGGAAUGGAACAGAAAGUGUUCUAAACUUUCAGAAUGAGAGGGACAUCCAGAUAUGGGAAGCAUACAGAACUGAAAAUGGAAAGGAUCUAAAAACAACCUCUCCCCAACAUGUUGUAAUUAAAAUGCUGAACAUACAGAUAAAAGAUAGAAUUUUAAAAGCCACAGAGAAAAAUGUCAGGUCACAUUUAGAGGCAAGCCUAUCAGAAGCACUUCUGAUUUCUUAGCACAAACUUUAAAAGCCAGAAGGGCUUGGAAUGAUGUGAUCCAAGUCCUAAAAGAAAAUUACUGUCAAAAAAGAUUGCUAUUUCCAGCAAAGCUAUCCUUCAAAUUUGAUGAAGAAAUUUCUGCUACCAAGAUGAGCAGAAACUAAAAGAAUUCAUGACAACUAAACUGGCACUACCUAACUUACUUAAAGAAAUACUGCACAUCAAACCAAAAAGCUGCUUCACAGCAUAGGUAAUAAUCAUGAACGUGAAGAGAGAACCACCUUUACCACCUGCACCUCAGAUAGAGCAUCAGUCUCCAAGAUAUAUAAAGAACUCCAAAAAGUUAACACCAAAACCAAAUAACCCAAUCAAUAAAUGGGCAAAGGAACUGAACAGGGACUUCAUAUAAAAAGAAAUAUGAAUGGUCAACAAAUAUAUGAAAAAAUGUUCAACAUCUCUAGUAGUUAGAGAAAUGUAAUUUAAAACUACAUCGAGAUUCCAUCUCACUCCAGUCCAAAUGGCAAUUAUCAAGAAUACAAUUAACAAUAAAUGUUGGUGAGGAUGUGGGGAAAUGGUUCACUCAUACAUUGUUAGUGGGACUGCAAAUUAGUGCAAUCACUCUGGAAAGCAGUAUGGAGAUUCCUAAGAAAACUUGAAAUGGAACCACUAUUUGACCCAGUUAUCCAGCUCCUUGGUAUAUGCCUAAAGAACUUACAAUCAGCAUACUACAGUGACAAAGCCACAUCGAUGUUUACAGCAGCUCAAUUGACACUAGCAAAGCACUGGACCAACCUAGGUGCCCUUCAACAGAUGAAUAGAAAUAAAAUGUGGUACACACACACAGUGUAAUAUUACUCAGCCAUAAGGAAGAAUAAAAAUAUGGCAUUUCCUGGUAAAUGGAUGAAACUGGAGACUGUCAUGCUGAGUGAAAUAAGCCAGUCCCCCCAAACCAAAGGCUGAAUGUUCUCUCUGAUAUGUGGGUGCUAACACACAAUAAGGGGGAGGGGAGGGAAGAGUAGAAGUUCAUUGGAUUAAACAAAAGGGAAUGAAGGGAAGGGAAGGGGUUGGAAUUAUGAAAGACAGGAGAGUGAGUUGGACAUAACUUUCCUAUGUUCAAAUAUGAAUACACAAUUAGUGAACCUCACAUCAUGUACAGCCACAAGAAUGGGAUCCUAAUUAGACAAAUCUCACUGAAGUGUAGCUAAGUAAAUGAGAAACAGGACCAAAUUAACUUUAUAAAUAAAUCAAAAUGGC
Molecule: long non-coding RNA, 7267 nt
Filed under: Marmota monax (woodchuck)
Lineage: Eukaryota; Metazoa; Chordata; Mammalia; Rodentia; Sciuridae
Source: RNAcentral